GACGAACGCUGGCGGCGUGCCUAAUACAUGCAAGUCGAACGCUGAAGAGAGGAGCUUGCUCUUCUUGGAUGAGUUGCGAACGGGUGAGUAACGCGUAGGUAACCUGCCUGGUAGCGGGGGAUAACUAUUGGAAACGAUAGCUAAUACCGCAUAAAAUUGAUUAUUGCAUGAUAAUUAAUUGAAAGAUGCAACUGCAUCACUACCAGAUGGACCUGCGUUGUAUUAGCUAGUUGGUGAGGUAACGGCUCACCAAGGCGACGAUACAUAGCCGACCUGAGAGGGUGAUCGGCCACACUGGGACCGAGACACGGCCCAGACUCCUACGGGAGGCAGCAGUAGGGAAUCUUCGGCAAUGGGGGGAACCCUGACCGAGCAACGCCGCGGGAGUGAAGAAGGUUUUCGGAUCGUAAAGCUCUGUUGUAAGAGAAGAACGGGUGUGAGAGUGGAAAGUUCACACUGUGACGGUAGCUUACCAGAAAGGGACGGCUAACUACGUG
RNAcentral lists this ribosomal RNA (497 nucleotides) under uncultured bacterium. Its description in RNAcentral is "partial 16S ribosomal RNA". It matches the Rfam family "Bacterial small subunit ribosomal RNA", at positions 28 to 507 of the family's 1533-position model. The record is from RNAcentral.